RNAcentral lists this ribosomal RNA (576 nucleotides) under uncultured eukaryote. RNAcentral describes it as "SSU rRNA". It matches the Rfam family "Eukaryotic small subunit ribosomal RNA", at positions 97 to 666 of the family's 1831-position model. The record is from RNAcentral.
CUCAUUAAAUCACACCUAAUGUCYUGGAUAGUGCCAGUUACUUGGAUAACUGCGGUAAUUCUGGAGCUAAUACAUGCGUUCAAGCCCCGAACGUGAGUGAGGGGUGCUUUUAUUAGAUCAAGACCAAACGCCCGCUCCGGCGGGCGUCCGUCUGGUGACUCUGAAUAACUUUGCGCGGAUCGCACGGCCUCGCGCCGGCGACGUGUCUUUCCAAGGUGUGCCCUAUCAACUGUCGACUGUGGCAUAGACGCCCACAGUGGUUUUGACGGGUAACGGGGAAUCAGGGUUCGAUUCCGGAGAGGGAGCCUGAGAGACGGCUACCACUUCUAAGGAAGGCAGCAGGCACGCAAAUUACCCACUGGCCGAAGGCCGAGGUAGUGACGAAAAAUAACGAUACCGGACUCAUCCGAGGCCCGGUAAUCGGAAUGAGUACACUUUAAAUCCUUUAACGAGGAACCAUUGGAGGGCAAGUCUGGUGCCAGCAGCCGCGGUAAUUCCAGCUCCAAUAGCAUAUGUUAAAGUUGUUGCGGUUAAAAAGCUCGUAGUUGGAUCUCGGCGGGCCGGGGUCGGUUCGCU